Molecule: non-coding RNA, 30 nt
Filed under: Rattus norvegicus (Norway rat)
Lineage: Eukaryota; Metazoa; Chordata; Mammalia; Rodentia; Muridae
Source: RNAcentral
UCCAACUGUGAAAGCGAAUGUGCACUGAGC